Molecule: long non-coding RNA, 337 nt
Filed under: Phascolarctos cinereus (koala)
Lineage: Eukaryota; Metazoa; Chordata; Mammalia; Diprotodontia; Phascolarctidae
Description: lncRNA (ENSPCIG00000035996.1)
Source: RNAcentral
CGUGUGCCUCCGCCGGGCAUACAGAAAGGCCAAAACAGCCCCUGCCUGCGAGCCUGUGCAGGAUAAGCUGGAGAGAAGCUACAGAAGGCUUCCUCUAGGUAGAAGCUCUAGGUCUGAGAUGACUGUAGAGGAAAGAGAGAGAAAGAACAGAAGAAUUUUUCUGGUGAGAAUGGUUCUUACUAUUUUAUAGUAAAGAGACCUUGUUCCUGUUGUGGCUGGAGAGAAAAUGGAGAAGACAGAGAGAUGGAAGAUGGAGAGGUUUUCUGAUGCAGCUGUUUUCACCCUCACCUUGUGAAGAGGAUUGUGGAAAACAGCCUGGAUUUGAUAUCUUGAGACA